UGGGGAAUUUGGACAAUGGGCGAAAGCCUGAUCCAGCAAUGCCGCGUGUGUGAAGAAGGCCUUCGGGUUGUAAAGCACUUUUGUCCGGAAAGAAAUCCUUGGCUCUAAUACAGUCGGGGGAUGACGGUACCGGAAGAAUAAGCACCGGCUAACUACGUGCCAGCAGCCGCGGUAAUACGUAGGGUGCAAGCGUUAAUCGGAAUUACUGGGCGUAAAGCGUGCGCAGGCGGUUUGCUAAGACCGAUGUGAAAUCCCCGGGCUCAACCUGGGAACUGCAUUGGUGACUGGCAGGCUAGAGUAUGGCAGAGGGGGGUAGAAUUCCACGUGUAGCAGUGAAAUGCGUAGAGAUGUGGAGGAAUACCGAUGGCGAAGGCAGCCCCCUGGGCCAAUACUGACGCUCAUGCACGAAAGCGUGGGGAGCAAACAGGAUUAGAUACCCUGGUAGUCCACGCCCUAAACGAUGUCAACUAGUUGUUGGGGGAUUCAUUUCCUUAGUAACGUAGCUAACGCGUGAAGUUGACCGCCUGGGGAGUACGGUCGCAAGAUUAAAACUCAAAGGAAUUGACGGGGU
Molecule: ribosomal RNA, 571 nt
Filed under: uncultured bacterium
Lineage: Bacteria
Description: partial 16S ribosomal RNA
Rfam family: Bacterial small subunit ribosomal RNA
Source: RNAcentral